RNAcentral lists this ribosomal RNA (408 nucleotides) under uncultured bacterium. Its description in RNAcentral is "partial 16S ribosomal RNA". It matches the Rfam family "Bacterial small subunit ribosomal RNA", at positions 28 to 526 of the family's 1533-position model. The record is from RNAcentral.
GACGAACGCUGGCGGCGUGCUUAAAACAUGCAAGUCGAACGGAGUGGCGAACGGGUGAGUAACACGUGGGUGACCUGCCAUGCACUUCGGGAUAAGCAUGGGAAACUGGGUCUAAUACCGGAUAGUGUGGGAUGGGCCAGCGGCCUGUCAGCUUGUUGGUGGGGUAAUGGACUACCAAGGCGGCGACGGGUAGACGGCCGGAGAGGGUGGACGGCCACAUUGGGACCGAGACACGGACCAGACUCCUACUGGAGGCAGGAGUGGGGAAUCUUGCACCAUGGGCGGAAGCCUGCUGCAGCGACGCCGCGUGGGGGAUGACGGCCUUCGGGUUGUAAACUCCUUUCACCAUCGACGCGGUAGAUGGAGAAGAAGCACCGGCUAACUACGUGCCAGCAGCCGCGGUAAUUC